GAUGAACGCUGGCGGCGUGCCUAAUACAUGCAAGUCGAGCGAACAGACGAGGAGCUUGCUCCUCUGACGUUAGCGGCGGACGGGUGAGUAACACGUGGAUAACCUACCUAUAAGACUGGGAUAACUUCGGGAAACCGGAGCUAAUACCGGAUAAUAUAUUGAACCGCAUGGUUCAAUAGUGAAAGACGGUUUUGCUGUCACUUAUAGAUGGAUCCGCGCCGCUUUAGCUAGUUGGUAAGGUAACGGCUUACCAAGGCAACGAUGCGUAGCCGACCUGAGAGGGUGAUCGGCCACACUGGAACUGAGACACGGUCCAGACUCCUACGGGAGGCAGCAGUAGGGAAUCUUCCGCAAUGGGCGAAAGCCUGACGGAGCAACGCCGCGUGAGUGAUGAAGGUCUUCGGAUCGUAAAACUCUGUUAUUAGGGAAGAACAAAUGUGUAAGUAACUAUGCACGUCUUGACGGUACCUAAUCAGAAAGCCACGGCUAACUCCGUG
RNAcentral lists this ribosomal RNA (497 nucleotides) under uncultured bacterium. RNAcentral's name for it is "partial 16S ribosomal RNA". It matches the Rfam family "Bacterial small subunit ribosomal RNA", at positions 28 to 507 of the family's 1533-position model. The record is from RNAcentral.